GACGAACGCUGGCGGCGUGCCUAAUACAUGCAAGUAGAACGCACAGUUUAUACCGUAGCUUGCUACACCAUAAACUGUGAGUUGCGAACGGGUGAGUAACGCGUAGGUAACCUGCCUGGUAGCGGGGGAUAACUAUUGGAAACGAUAGCUAAUACCGCAUAAUAUUAAUUAUUGCAUGAUAAUUGAUUGAAAGGUGCAAAUGCAUCACUACCAGAUGGACCUGCGUUGUAUUAGCUAGUAGGUGAGGUAACGGCUCACCUAGGCGACGAUACAUAGCCGACCUGAGAGGGUGAUCGGCCACACUGGGACUGAGACACGGCCCAGACUCCUACGGGAGGCAGCAGUAGGGAAUCUUCGGCAAUGGACGAAAGUCUGACCGAGCAACGCCGCGUGAGUGAAGAAGGUUUUCGGAUCGUAAAGCUCUGUUGUAAGAGAAGAACGGGUGUGAGAGUGGAAAGUUCACACUGUGAC
Molecule: ribosomal RNA, 471 nt
Filed under: Streptococcus gordonii
Lineage: Bacteria; Bacillati; Bacillota; Bacilli; Lactobacillales; Streptococcaceae
Description: bacterial SSU rRNA
Rfam family: Bacterial small subunit ribosomal RNA
Source: RNAcentral